RNAcentral lists this long non-coding RNA (475 nucleotides) under Cricetulus griseus (Chinese hamster). RNAcentral's name for it is "lncRNA (ENSCGRG00015033341.1)". Lineage: Eukaryota; Metazoa; Chordata; Mammalia; Rodentia; Cricetidae. The record is from RNAcentral.
AUUUCAUCGUGCACUUUCAGCUAACAGUCCAUUCCUGAGGGAGGUCAAGGUAGAAACUCAAGGUAGGAACUUGGAGGCAUGAGCUAAAGUAUAAGUCAUGCAAGGGUACUUACUGCUUACUGCCUCAGUCAUCCUGGUUUUUAUACAACCCAAGACCACCUGCCCAGUGUGGCACCACACUCAAUGGGCUGGGCCCGCCCACAUCUGUCAUUAAUCAAAAAAAAUGUUCCACGUGCUUGUCUAAGGGCCAAUAUUAUGGAGGCAUUUUCUCAAUUGCAAUCCUUCUUCUCAGAUGAUUCACAGUUCUGGAGACUGACGGGCAUGACAGUGCACUUGUUUGGCCUUGGUGAGGACAUCUCGGUGGAUGGCAUCUCAACAGAGGGAGUACAUACAGACAUUUGACACAUCAGAAAACAGAGGCUGGGAGAGGCUUGAUGCCCUGCCUUGGGUGACUCAGGAUUCUGGAAACACUAGC